RNAcentral lists this ribosomal RNA (270 nucleotides) under uncultured bacterium. RNAcentral describes it as "partial 16S ribosomal RNA". It matches the Rfam family "Bacterial small subunit ribosomal RNA", at positions 84 to 353 of the family's 1533-position model. The record is from RNAcentral.
UUUGAUGGCGACCGGCGCACGGGUGAGUAACACGUAUCCAACCUGCCGAUGACUCGGGGAUAGCCUUUCGAAAGAAAGAUUAAUACCCGAUGGCAUAGUUCUUCCGCAUGGUAGAACUAUUAAAGAAUUUCGGUCAUCGAUGGGGAUGCGUUCCAUUAGGUUGUUGGCGGGGUAACGGCCCACCAAGCCUUCGAUGGAUAGGGGUUCUGAGAGGAAGGUCCCCCACAUUGGAACUGAGACACGGUCCAGACUCCUACGGGAGGCAGCAUG